UUUAAGGAUCUUUUACAGGUGAAGAAAGUCUCAGAUUGUCGUAGUAUCUCUUAGUUUAGUGUGACAUCGCUCAGUGGACUACAACUUCCACAAUACACGUCACUUACUUUACUGUGACAUCGCUCUGUGGACUACAACUCC
Sander lucioperca (pikeperch) is the source of this 141-nucleotide long non-coding RNA. RefSeq lists it as uncharacterized. The transcript has 3 exons. NCBI's taxonomy places the organism in Eukaryota, Metazoa, Chordata, Actinopteri, Perciformes, Percidae. The record is from RefSeq and is a predicted model, not a curated record.